This 195-nucleotide ribosomal RNA is filed under the name uncultured bacterium. RNAcentral describes it as "partial 16S ribosomal RNA". It matches the Rfam family "Bacterial small subunit ribosomal RNA", at positions 338 to 524 of the family's 1533-position model. The record is from RNAcentral.
CCUACGGGAGGCAGCAGUGGGGAAUAUUGCGCAAUGGGCGAAAGCCUGACGCAGCAACGCCGCGUGGGGGAUGAAGGUUCUCGGAUUGUAAACCCCUUUCGAUCGGAACGAAUCCCCCCCUGGUAAAUAAUCAGGAGGAUCGACGGUACCUACAGAAGAAGCACCGGCUAACUACGUGCCAGCAGCCGCGGUAAU